GAGGCCUGCCUGCCCAGUGACAAACGUUCAACGGCCGCGGUAUCCUGACCGUGCAAAGGUAGCAUAAUCACUUGUUCCUUAAUUGGGGACUGGAAUGAAUGGCCUCACGAGGAUUCAACUGUCUCUUACCUCUAAUCAGUGAAAUUGACCUCCCCGUGAAGAGGCGGGGAUACAACAACAAGACGAGAAGACCCUAUGGAGCUUUAAUUUUCUGUCUUAACUACUAAAUAACUAACCCUACUGGGAUAAAAAAAAGAGAAGUAAGUCAGUAAUUUCGGUUGGGGUGACCUCGGAGAAUAAAACAACCUCCGAAUGAUUUUAACUAAGACAAACAAGUCAAAGUAUUAAAAAUCAAAUUGACCCAAUUCAUUUGAUCAACGGACCAAGUUACCCUAGGGAUAACAGCGCAAUCCUAUUCAAGAGUCCAUAUCGACAAUUAGGGUUUACGACCUCGAUGUUGGAUCAGGACAUCCCAAUGGUGCAGCAGCUAUUAACGGUUCGUUUGUUCAACGAUUAAAGUCCUACGUGAUCUG
Molecule: ribosomal RNA, 533 nt
Filed under: Microtus thomasi (Thomas's pine vole)
Lineage: Eukaryota; Metazoa; Chordata; Mammalia; Rodentia; Cricetidae
Description: partial 16S ribosomal RNA
Rfam family: Bacterial large subunit ribosomal RNA
Source: RNAcentral